UUGGAGCAGGCAAGCAGGGUGCGCAUCAACGCUAUUCUUUUAGAGUCGUUCUGUCCUGAUCCUCACAUAUAUGUAUAUGCGAGUCCUGACCGAUCGUGAUCGUCAACACACCUUGCAUGGACGUCGAGAGCGAAGACUUCAGUGUCCCACUGCACCCUGACUUAAUUCGACGUAGCUAGUGGUCGAGUACCACCACCAUCCUCUUGAUCCGCAACCCCAAAGUCAGUACCCCACCAAGGAUCGCGGAGUGUAGUGGUUCGAGUACCUCUAACGUGCCCUCACGCGUCGGAGGUUCACGUACGAGAUGCCCCUGUCGUGCCUCUACGACGUUUUUGACCGCCUGCUAGAUAUACUGUAGUUCACCGUGGAGCUGGGUCUGUCGUGGCUGAAGCAGUUGCUGGUCCCGUUCGAACUGGCCGAUACCGCCGAGUUUCUGCUGCAGGUGGCGCACCUCCUCUAGAACCUGGACAAAGUCGACCUCUAGGUACUGUAGCUCUGUUGGCCAUUAAUGUAUUGUUCUUUAUUCUUCGCGGACGUGCCGUUCUUUCAACUCAACAGCGCAGUCGACCACUUUCACGAGUUCUUAGAUCUGCUCUGGGCCCUGUCCCGCGCCCUUGAGGCUGUACCGCGUCCGGGAAGGUACAGCGGUUUUCGUCUUUGACCGGUCGUGUGGUACUCCCUGUUCUCCUCGAAGAAGCCCAUGGUCCUGCUCAUACGGGUCGACCAGAGAUACAACACCGGCGUCGUCUUACCGGUGUUCGACCACUUCCACCUGCGGUUCCGCGCCGCCCAAUAGCGGUAGCAGCCGGUACGGCCCUACCCCUUCUGUCUCGAACGAGCGGUCCACAAAGCCCUGCGGUUUCCUUUCAAACUAGAAACGUAUACCCACGUGCGGAUACCGUUCUUGUUCCUCAACCUGGAGGACUUUCUCUAGACCUCCAGACGACUAUCCGGACAGCCGCUAUACUUGCAGAGUUCGGAAGUCUUCUUCUACCUUUUGGAUAACCGUAGGUUCUCCACGGAAGACCACGAGCUACUACAUACCUUGGUACUCAACCGCUGGUUGCUCCUCCUCUCCCUCGUCCGUAGCGACCGCGACCUUAGUUAUUACUCGAAACGGGUUCCACCUUCGGCUUAGCACUACUGCUGAGCACGGUUCUAAACAAGUCACUGUAAGUUUCGUCGACGUUCGUAGUAGGAUUUACCUUAGUUUGGGUUCCUCUACUGUGAAGAUGAGUUGGUGUGGCGGUUCGAUUCCUGGCUACCAUGAUAACUGUUACUACUGUUUUUUUAAGUUGUCGAGCAUUUGUUCGUCCACAGGUUCUACUUCCCCAGGGGCAACCGCCGGCACCUCUAGCCGGUGCUCAACUCCUUUGUUUGGUGUCAACUGUUCUCCACGCUGUAUAACGUGUUGCAACUCGUAGUAAACCUGUGGCACAAUGUCCGGGUAGACAAGUGCAUAGCGGUAGAGAACGGCGCGGACGUCGCGACGAAGCUCAAGACGUCGUAUAAGGGUAUGUUAACCUCCAAGCUCCGACUCUUCAACUGGUUCUACACCUAUCGAGUACCAAAGCAGCUCCUCCUGCGGGUUGUUCUUCCAGCCUCGUACCUCCUACAGCGGUGUCUGAUGAAGGUAUCGGACCACCUAGCAAGUAACAAGGUUCUUCUUCCUCCGCUUGGUCGACCUCCGUUGCCCUGCUGGAUACACUAGGUACUCGUCCAGGUAACCUACUAUGCGUACCGGAGAUGGUUCUUGACGUAGUCGUAGAGGCCGUGUCGUCACUCUUCGUAGGGAGGGUGUCAAGCAGUGAACAGACAGUGGUCGUCGAGAGAACUAGUCGAGUUCCGUAUAGGAUUUUAGUAUCAUGAGUCGUUAUACUCCUGGGACGAUCAGGAUGUCUCGUUAGUACCACUACUACUACUACUACUAAGUUGUAGUAGCUGCGGGAACUAGUCAUGUCAACUGUCUCAUGAGGUCAACUGUUCCCAUAUGAGUUUGACAAGUUCCCGCACUCUCAUGACCUGGACUGUCUCUGUCCUGAUUGUGUCGACGGUCCUUGAUAGCCGUUCGACUUUGUACAGGCGAUGGAACCCGAAGGCUCGUGGUACUCCUUAGACACACUACUCCAGUGGCCCAAUGACAAAGAGGUCUGGAAGUCGGAACCCCCCUUCUACGUCUUAUGGACAGCCGACGUCUCCAAAGGGUUUUCCUACUUGUCCGAGCAGUUGUACGCUGUGGAGCUGUACCUGUACCUCACGUAGCGGUUGUAGUCACCGUAGCCCUCCUACGCAUUUGACGUUCCUAGGUAGCUCAAGUUCCGGCAGUCCCGCAGUCUCUUUGUUCCCGUGUGGUACAGUCUCGAACCGCCCUACUUGAGAGACGCUCCCUGCGACUCGUAUUUCCCUGAGCUGCGGCAGCGGCCGUUCCUCCUCCGGUAGUUCCGAGCUGAGCUGUUGUUCUCACGGUAGUUCCAGGAGUUCGAACUUACCUCCGGAGAUCUAGGUGCCGCUCAACUGCCACCUGGACGGCUGAGGCUGCGGCGACGGCAGGAACUUCCAGAGCUCGGAGUGGCCCCGGAGGUACUCGACGCGUAGUGCUCCAUGGGACCCCGCUGCAGCGGCUGAACCAACCCGGCCCCGUACUACCAGUUGGACCGCGCGGACAUGGAGUCCUUGACGUCCUCCGACGUCCGGGACGGACGGCAGCCGCCCGAAGGAACGGACCUCGAAGAGCUAUAGUUCCUCGACGGGACGCAGCUCUCCUAGCUGCCACUGAAGACGUCGCCGCCACGCAAGGGCCGUGACUUCCUCUACCACGAGCUGCUGUACGGCUCCGACCACCGCACCCUACUAUACGGGUCAGAUCGGAAGGGACACGAGUCCCUGCAUUCGUAGCGGCUGACGGGUGACGACAGGAGGAACAGCCCGGAGGUCGCGACGUCUCCAGGGUAGGUGGAGACGCAGUUCCCUUGCUGCCAGGAGCGUGCCCGCUGGGACGGGUUUUUAAAGUUACCGCCAUUGAGAUGAACGUUUAAAAUGAUCGCGGGUACAAAUUUUAUGGAGAAGUAAUAUGAUGAUAUAUCAUAUAGAGAGGAAACUCUCGGCCUUAAAAAAAGACGUAGAGAGCACUUCGACUUACAAAUGCGAGGUACUAUAUGAUCAUCACGUGGCUUAGUAAAGAUCAACAUUAAUUAGUUUACGUGUUGUGGCAACUACUUUACCCAAUUUUGGGUAUAAACACCAAGUCAGAUACAAAUCCGGAAUAGAUUCUUUUCUUUUACUUAGGGUUUGUAAUCAUGCACACGGUUCUGAGCUGGGACCGGUACUUCGAAUAACCAAAGAUUAAGAUAUCUUUUAUUUUUGCUUGAAUUUUUAUACUUUGGGCUGUACCACAGAACAUACUGUUUUUAUUCUUCUCCGGUUUAUACCGUGUUUUUGCAUUCUUCAAUAACUUUGAAGUGUUAGGAGAUUGGGAUUAGAUUAAAAGGGUAUAACUAGAACGUUCAAAACGAACGUUCCAACCUGUGAUAACCUUAAGGUACGAAGAGCUCAUGAGGGAGGCAAGGAUUUACAUUCAGAAACAUCUCUAAGGUCAUAUUUGGCGUAUGCCUACAUAUAUCUACGUAAAAUUCAAAUCUAAAUAAGUAAAACGAGGCAUACAUCAGGUAGAUUACUUUAGAGAUAUUUUUGAAUAUAAAUCCUUGCCUCCCUCAUGAAUACAGAAACGAUACAAAGUAAGGUGUUGAGCUGUUUUGUGCAGAAAAAACGACUCUUGUUUCGUGCAGAAUUCGACUUGUUCGAGUACCUACUCGCCGGUGACGGCCUCGUUUCGGACCGGGUCUAAACCCCGUUCCGAGCCCCAUCGACUGGGCUUUACCCCGCCUACGACGGUCUUCCCCUAAUUUACUGUAUUUUGACGGGCAUCCCAAAGCAUCUUAAUGUGGAAAAAGAACAGCGACUAUCGAUGGUGUUUCGACUAAAAAACAAAUUUUUGAGUUUACUGGCAAGUCGUAUUUUAAUUAGGC
RNAcentral lists this ribosomal RNA (4025 nucleotides) under Triticum aestivum (bread wheat). Its description in RNAcentral is "partial small subunit ribosomal RNA". Lineage: Eukaryota; Viridiplantae; Streptophyta; Magnoliopsida; Poales; Poaceae. The record is from RNAcentral.